This 432-nucleotide ribosomal RNA is filed under the name uncultured bacterium. RNAcentral describes it as "bacterial SSU rRNA". It matches the Rfam family "Bacterial small subunit ribosomal RNA", at positions 335 to 783 of the family's 1533-position model. The record is from RNAcentral.
ACUCCUACGGGAGGCAGCAGUGGGGAAUAUUGCACAAUGGGCGCAAGCCUGAUGCAGCAACGCCGCGUGAGCGAUGAAGGCCUUCGGUCGUAAAGCUCUGUCCUCAAGGAAGAAUAAAUAGACGGUACUUGAGGAGGAAGCCCGGCUAACUACGUGCCAGCAGCCGCGGUAAUACGUAGGGGGCAAGCGUUAUCCGGAAUCACUGGGGCGUAAAGGGGUGCGUAGGCGGUUUUCAAGUCAGAAGUGAAAGGCUAUGGCUCAACCAUAGUAAGCUUUUGAAACUGUUAAACUUGAGUGCAGGAGAGGAAAGUGGAAUUCCUAGUGUAGAGGUGAAAUUCGUAGAUAUUAGGAGGAACACCAGUGGCGAAGGCGACUUUCUGGACUGUAACUGACGCUGAGGCACGAAAGCGUGGGGAGCGAACAGGAUUAGAU